Molecule: unclassified non-coding RNA, 260 nt
Filed under: uncultured Chaetothyriales
Lineage: Eukaryota; Fungi; Ascomycota; Eurotiomycetes; Chaetothyriales
Description: sequence contains 5.8S rRNA gene, ITS2, 28S rRNA gene
Rfam family: 5.8S ribosomal RNA (bases 1-52)
Source: RNAcentral
AACGCACAUUGCGCCCAUUGGUAUUCCGAUGGGCAUGCCUGUUCGAGCGUCAUUAUCCUCCCUCAAACCUCGUGUUUGGCGUUGGACCGUGUUGGUUGGACGACCAACUGGUCUCAAAGACAAUGACGGCGUCCGUGGGACCCUCGGUGCAACGAGCUUCUUAGGAGCACGCGUCGAGUUUCAAGGACCUUCCGGGCCGGUCUUGACCUAUAUCUUCUUAGGUUGACCUCGGAUCAGGUAGGAAUACCCGCUGAACUUAA